CUACGGGGCGCUGCAGUGGGGAAUAUUGCACAAUGGGCGAAAGCCCGAUGCAGCAACGCCGCGUGGAGGAUGACACAUUUCGGUGCGUAAACUCCUUUUAUAUAAGAAGAUAAUGGCGGUAUUAUAUGAAUAAGCACCGGCUAACUCCGUGCCAGCAGCCGCGGUAAUACGGGGGGUGCAAGCGUUACUCGGAAUCACUGGGCGUAAAGAGCAUGUAGGCUGGAUGACAAGUUGGAAGUGAAAUCCUAUGGCUUAACCAUAGAACUGCUUCCAAAACUGUCUUCCUAGAGCAUGGGAGAGGUAGAUGGAAUUUCUGGUGUAGGGGUAAAAUCCGUAGAGAUCAGAAGGAAUACCGAUUGCGAAGGCGAUCUACUGGAACAUUACUGACGCUCAGAUGCGAAAGCGUGGGGAGCAAACAGGAUUAGAUACCCCUGUAGUC
This 439-nucleotide ribosomal RNA is filed under the name uncultured bacterium. RNAcentral's name for it is "partial 16S ribosomal RNA". It matches the Rfam family "Bacterial small subunit ribosomal RNA", at positions 339 to 795 of the family's 1533-position model. The record is from RNAcentral.